RNAcentral lists this ribosomal RNA (254 nucleotides) under uncultured bacterium. RNAcentral describes it as "partial 16S ribosomal RNA". It matches the Rfam family "Bacterial small subunit ribosomal RNA", at positions 524 to 776 of the family's 1533-position model. The record is from RNAcentral.
UACGAGGGGGGCGAGCGUUGUUCGGAAUUAUUGGGCGUAAAGGGUGCGUAGGCGGUUUGGUAAGUCUGAUGUGAAAUCUAUGGGCUCAACUCAUAGUCUGCAUCGGAAACUGCCGGGCUUGAGUAUGGGAGAGGUGAGUGGAAUUCCUGGUGUAGCGGUGAAAUGCGUAGAUAUCAGGAGGAACACCUGUGGUGUAGACAGCUUACUGGGACCAUUUCUGACGCUGAGACACGAAAGCGUGGGUAGCAAACAGG